RNAcentral lists this long non-coding RNA (953 nucleotides) under Cricetulus griseus (Chinese hamster). Its description in RNAcentral is "lncRNA (ENSCGRG00015039318.1)". Lineage: Eukaryota; Metazoa; Chordata; Mammalia; Rodentia; Cricetidae. The record is from RNAcentral.
AAGGAACUCCCCACAGCUAGGGUUAGGGCAGGGCUUUGUUUUUGUAUUUCCAGGAGAAUAAGAGAACCCAACUGAGGAAUCUGAAGACUUUUUGGACAAAUGAGACAGCCAAAGAAGCAUGAAUCAUGAAGAGAAUAUGUCCCAAGAAUAUGUCUACAUCCAACAGGGUAGAAUAUUUGUUUCUGCUGCUCUCUACAAACAUAAAAGGCAAAUGGUAUUUUUUGGUCACAAUUCAAUUAAAAAUUGACUUUGGAGUUGGAACAUGGCUCUCUCCUUCUCGAAAUCUAAGCAUGCUUGUUAAAGGAAAAUCCAAAAUCCUUGUUUCAUGUCAGAAGAGACACCUGGUAUGGAACAGAAGAAAACCAAAAUUAAGGGACUCUUCUAUUGCCACUAAUACCAUAAUUCUUUGGCUUUAGUUUGACUCUUUAAAACUUUCAAGGAUUCGGAAGAGGACAUUGGAUUCCUUGGAACAGUUGUGAGUGGGUGCUGGGAACUGAAUGCAGGUCCUCUGCAAAAGCAACAAGUACUCUUUACCACUGAGCCAUCUCUCCAGCCUCAAGAAAAGGUGUAUGAAGUGUUCAUCGAGGCCAGAUCUUCUGUUCUUAUGAAGCCAGAAAUUUACAUGAGCUUUGGUGGGGCUGUGGGGCAGCAUUCGCAGGUCUUAUUCUUGGUUCGAGUGUUGGGUUCUUCCUGAAUUCCUGAGAUCCUGACCACUUUGUGAUGAAUGAAACAGCAUAGGUAGUAGUGCUGCUUUUUUAGAGCCUGGGAAAGCACAUAAGUAUUAAAGACACUUGCUUUAGAAAUGUCUCUGAUUGCAGCAGCCACUGCUGGGUUCCACAAGAGGGUGUUCUUAAUGGCCUUGCCCUUGGGCAUGCACUGGGCACAGCUCCUGCAGUGAAUCAACUACACAUCACCAUGACUGUUUUUGGCACAACUGUUAAUUACUCUUUUUU